AGAACGAACGCUGGCGGCAGGCUUAACACAUGCAAGUCGAACGCUCGUAGCAAUACGGGAGUGGCAGACGGGUGAGUAACGCGUGGGAACAUACCCUCCGGUUCGGAAUAGCUCAGGGAAACUUGGAUUAAUACCGGAUACGGCUGAGAGGCGAAAGAUUUAUCGCCGGAGGAUUGGCCCGCGUUCGAUUAGCUUGUUGGUGAGGUAACGGCUCACCAAGGCGAUGAUCGAUAGCUGGUCUGAGAGGAUGAUCAGCCACAUUGGGACUGAGACACGGCCCAAACUCCUACGGGAGGCAGCAGUGGGGAAUAUUGGACAAUGGGCGCAAGCCUGAUCCAGCCAUGCCGCGUGAGUGAUGACGGCCUUAGGGUUGUAAAGCUCUUUCGCUCGGGACGAUAAUGACGGUACCGAGAUAAGAGCCCGGCUAACUCGUGCCAGCAGCCGC
This 445-nucleotide ribosomal RNA is filed under the name uncultured bacterium. RNAcentral's name for it is "SSU rRNA". It matches the Rfam family "Bacterial small subunit ribosomal RNA", at positions 26 to 518 of the family's 1533-position model. The record is from RNAcentral.